UGCCUACGGGGCGCAGCAGUGGGGAAUAUUGCACAAUGGGGGAAACCCUGAUGCAGCGACGCCGCGUGAGCGAAGAAGUAUUUCGGUAUGUAAAGCUCUAUCAGCAGGGAAGAAAAAUGACGGUACCUGAGUAAGAAGCACCGGCUAAAUACGUGCCAGCAGCCGCGGUAAUACGUAUGGGGCAAGCGUUAUCCGGAUUUACUGGGUGUAAAGGGAGCGUAGGCGGCAGGGCAAGCCUGAUGUGAAAGCCCGGGGCUCAACCCCGGGUCUGCAUUGGGAACUG
This 283-nucleotide ribosomal RNA is filed under the name uncultured bacterium. RNAcentral describes it as "partial 16S ribosomal RNA". It matches the Rfam family "Bacterial small subunit ribosomal RNA", at positions 335 to 635 of the family's 1533-position model. The record is from RNAcentral.